Molecule: ribosomal RNA, 842 nt
Filed under: Colletotrichum fructicola
Lineage: Eukaryota; Fungi; Ascomycota; Sordariomycetes; Glomerellales; Glomerellaceae
Description: LSU rRNA
Rfam family: Eukaryotic large subunit ribosomal RNA
Source: RNAcentral
CCAACAGGGAUUGCCUCAGUAACGGCGAGUGAAGCGGCAACAGCUCAAAUUUGAAAUCUGGCCCUAGGCCCGAGUUGUAAUUUGCAGAGGAUGCUUUUGGUGCGGUGCCUUCCAAGUUCCCUAGAACGGGACGCCAGAGAGGGUGAGAGCCCCGUACAGUUGGACACCAAGCCUUUGUAAAGCUCCUUCGACGAGUCGAGUAGUUUGGGAAUGCUGCUCAAAAUGGGAGGUAUAUUUCUUCUAAAGCUAAAUACCGGCCAGAGACCGAUAGCGCACAAGUAGAGUGAUCGAAAGAUGAAAAGCACUUUGAAAAGAGGGUUAAACAGCACGUGAAAUUGUUAAAAGGGAAGCGCUUGUGACCAGACUUGCGUCCGGUGAAUCACCCAGCUCUCGCGGCUGGGGCACUUCGCCGGCUCAGGCCAGCAUCAGCUCGCUGUCGGGGACAAAAGCUUCAGGAACGUAGCUCUCUUCGGGGAGUGUUAUAGCCUGUUGCACAAUACCCUUCGGCGGGCUGAGGUACGCGCUCCGCAAGGAUGCUGGCAUAAUGGUCAUCAGCGACCCGUCUUGAAACACGGACCAAGGAGUCAACCUUAUGUGCGAGUGUUCGGGUGUCAAACCCCUACGCGUAAUGAAAGUGAACGCAGGUGAGAGCUUCGGCGCAUCAUCGACCGAUCCUGAUGUUCUCGGAUGGAUUUGAGUAAGAGCAUAUAGGGUUGGACCCGAAAGAAGGUGAACUAUGCGUGUAUAGGGUGAAGCCAGAGGAAACUCUGGUGGAGGCUCGCAGCGGUUCUGACGUGCAAAUCGAUCGUCAAAUAUGCGCAUGGGGGCGAAAGACUAAUCGA